RNAcentral lists this long non-coding RNA (336 nucleotides) under Carica papaya (papaya). RNAcentral describes it as "long non-coding RNA (CPAP_LNC000402)". The record is from RNAcentral. Lineage: Eukaryota; Viridiplantae; Streptophyta; Magnoliopsida; Brassicales; Caricaceae.
AAAGAGUUCUCUACAGAAGAGGUUAGUAAUAAUAAAUAAAUAUUCCUCACCAGUUCUCUUGUGUUUUACUCACUUGCUUUUACCCUUUGAUAUUCUCACGCACUUUUGUUUUUUAUCUUUCUAUCUCCCAUCCUCAAGUUGAAUGACAGAUAGAUCCUCUCGAAUUAAAAUAUUUUCAAGUAUUAUUUUAAGACACCGCUAUGAGUCCUAUAAAACAAAUAUCGUACUAAUACUAACAGCAAGAGUAUAACACACAGAGGAGAUGGUAGUGUAUGAUAUUACACUAAGGUUUAAGAUGCAAUUUAAAUGUUUAGAUAUAUCAGAGAACUAAAACUU